GAUGAACGCUGGCGGCGUGCCUAAUACAUGCAAGUCGAGCGAACAGACGAGGAGCUUGCUCCUCUGACGUUAGCGGCGGACGGGUGAGUAACACGUGGAUAACCUACCUAUAAGACUGGGAUAACUUCGGGAAACCGGAGCUAAUACCGGAUAAUAUAUUGAACCGCAUGGUUCAAUAGUGAAAGACGGUUUUGCUGUCACUUAUAGAUGGUUCCGCGCCGCAUUAGCUAGUUGGUAAGGUAACGGCUUACCAAGGCGACGAUGCGUAGCCGACCUGAGAGGGUGAUCGGCCACACUGGAACUGAGACACGGUCCAGACUCCGACGGGAGGCAGCAGUAGGGAAUCUUCCGCAAUGGGCGAAAGCCUGACGGAGCAACGCCGCGUGAGUGAUGAAGGUCUUCGGAUCGUAAAACUCUGUUAUUAGGGAAGAACAAAUGUGUAAGUAACUAUGCACGUCUGGACGGUACCUAAUCAGAAAGCCACGGCUAACUACGU
This 496-nucleotide ribosomal RNA is filed under the name uncultured bacterium. Its description in RNAcentral is "partial 16S ribosomal RNA". It matches the Rfam family "Bacterial small subunit ribosomal RNA", at positions 28 to 506 of the family's 1533-position model. The record is from RNAcentral.